RNAcentral lists this transfer RNA (75 nucleotides) under Escherichia coli. RNAcentral describes it as "tRNA-Val". It matches the Rfam family "tRNA". Rfam says of the family: Transfer RNA (tRNA) molecules are approximately 80 nucleotides in length. Their secondary structure includes four short double-helical elements and three loops (D, anti-codon, and T loops). Lineage: Bacteria; Pseudomonadati; Pseudomonadota; Gammaproteobacteria; Enterobacterales; Enterobacteriaceae. The record is from RNAcentral.
UGGUAGUAGCUCAGCUGGGAGAGCACCUCCCUUACAAGGAAGUGGUCGCAGGUUCGAAUCCUGCACGACCCACCA